RNAcentral lists this ribosomal RNA (497 nucleotides) under uncultured bacterium. Its description in RNAcentral is "partial 16S ribosomal RNA". It matches the Rfam family "Bacterial small subunit ribosomal RNA", at positions 28 to 507 of the family's 1533-position model. The record is from RNAcentral.
GACGAACGCUGGCGGCGUGCUUAAUACAUGCAAGUUGAGCGCUGAAGGUUGGUACUUGUACCGCCUGGAUGAGCAGCGAACGGGUGAGUAACGCGUGGGGCAUCUGCCUUUGAGCGGGGGACAACAUUUGGAAACGAAUGCUAAUACUGCAUAAACACUUUAAACACAAGUUUUAAGUUUGAAAGAUGCAAUUGCAUCACUCAAAGAUGAUCCCGCGUUGUUUUAGCUAGUUGGUGUGGUAAAGGCUCAACAAGGCGAUGGUACAUAGCCGACCUGAGAGGGUGUACGGCCACAGUGAGACUGAGACGCCGCACAAAGUCCGACAGGAGGCAGCAGUACGGAAGCGUGGGAGAUGUGCGAAAGACUGACCGAGCAACGGCGGGUGAGUGAAGAAGGUUCGCGGAUGGGAAAACGCUGUUGGUGUAGAAGAACGCUGGUAAGAGUGGAAAGCUCAUCAAGUGACGGUAGCAAUACAGAAAGGAACGGCUAACUACGUG